Molecule: ribosomal RNA, 407 nt
Filed under: Enterococcus faecium
Lineage: Bacteria; Bacillati; Bacillota; Bacilli; Lactobacillales; Enterococcaceae
Description: bacterial SSU rRNA
Rfam family: Bacterial small subunit ribosomal RNA
Source: RNAcentral
GGGACGUUGACCUCUAGAGAAGAGCUUCCCCUUCGGGGGCAAAGUGACAGGUGGUGCAUGGUUGUCGUCAGCUCGUGUCGUGAGAUGUUGGGUUAAGUCCCGCAACGAGCGCAACCCUUAUUGUUAGUUGCCAUCAUUCAGUUGGGCACUCUAGCAAGACUGCCGGUGACAAACCGGAGGAAGGUGGGGAUGACGUCAAAUCAUCAUGCCCCUUAUGACCUGGGCUACACACGUGCUACAAUGGGAAGUACAACGAGUUGCGAAGUCGCGAGGCUAAGCUAAUCUCUUAAAGCUUCUCUCAGUUCGGAUUGCAGGCUGCAACUCGCCUGCAUGAAGCCGGAAUCGCUAGUAAUCGCGGAUCAGCACGCCGCGGUGAAUACGUUCCCGGGUCUGUAAACACACCGAAC